AAGUCGUAACAAGGUUUCUGUAGGUGAACCUGCAGAAGGAUCAUUAGUGAAUUACUAGAGCGUCCUUCGGGAGCUCGAAAAACACUUUUAAACACAUCACGCAACAACUGUAUAUUUUUUAACGUUUUAUAAAGUAAUAGCAAGGCUCCUGUGCAUACAGGCAAAAUUAAACAAAUAAAACUUUCAACAACGGAUGUCUUGGCUCUC
Molecule: unclassified non-coding RNA, 207 nt
Filed under: fungal sp.
Lineage: Eukaryota; Fungi
Description: partial internal transcribed spacer region
Rfam family: Eukaryotic small subunit ribosomal RNA (bases 1-46)
Source: RNAcentral